Molecule: long non-coding RNA, 1501 nt
Filed under: Oryctolagus cuniculus (rabbit)
Lineage: Eukaryota; Metazoa; Chordata; Mammalia; Lagomorpha; Leporidae
Description: lncRNA (ENSOCUG00000037596.1)
Source: RNAcentral
AUGGGGGUAGACCCGGGCGUCCCCGCCUCGGGCGAGGGUCCCAGACCUCCGUGCCCCCCCAGGGGCUGCAGGCCCGGGAGGCGGUCCCGCGAGGCGGCGUCCAGCAGCGGGGCGGCCUGCGCCGAAGGGCCGCGGGCGGCCGAGAGCAGCAGCAGCAGCAGCAGCACGAGCGGGGGCACCAUGGCCGGCGGGGGGCGCGGCUGGCGAGGAGGGUGCGGUCAGAGGCCCCGCUCAGCCCCCCACCCUCUCGAUCGCGCCCCCGCCAGCCGCCUGGCCCGCCCGCCCGUCCUCACUUCCGAGCCGCCCCACAGCCCGCUCAACGGCUUCUGGCUCCCAGGGACGGUUGGAUUCAGACGGUUGCGGCCCCGGGAGCUGCCCGGGAACUGGACCGCUAACUCCGAGAGCUCGGGCACGCCCCCUCUGGCCACGCCCCCGCUCCCGAGCCACGCCCCGCGCACUGUUACGUCUCAACGAACCCCUAGCGCAAUGGCCACGCCCUGAGCACAGGCCACGCCCACCAGGGGGGACGCUCCAGUCAUAGACCACGCCCCCCCUCCGCGGAAAGGGCCACGCCUUGUCGAGCCAGGCCCUGCGGCCCCGGCCCCGCCUGGCCCGGUUGCAGCACCCACGCGCACCUCAGCCCACGGAGACUUGGGGGUGCCCGGCUCCCACGUGCUCCCUGCCCUCGGCCAGGGCGCCUUGCUCAUCGGCCACGGGCUGACCCAUUCCACUCUAACCUCAUCACCGCUUUUCUCUUAUUUCUACGGAACACCAUCCAUACUCUUCCUGCGAGGGUGUUUGCUCAGUACCGAGCGUCUGCUUUGCGGUUUCUUCGUUUAGCUGCUGUUUUUGGCGGGAAGACGCGGGGUUGAUCGGGCCUGCGGCCGCUGGACAAUCUGCUUCAGAGCGGGUUCCCCCACAUCCCGCCUCCCGAGAGAGGCAGAGACAGCUCCCAUUUGCUGCUCCACUCUCCGAGACUCUGUGAUGGCUGGGGUGGGAGCCAGGGCCUAAGCCAGGAGCUGGGAACCGAUCAGGACCCCCGGGGGUGGCAGGAGCUGUCACCGCUGCCUGCACAGCCAGAGGCCAGAGUCGGCAGCUGGGGCGGGGCUGGCAGCCGGGUUCUCUGACAGGUGUGGGUGGCCCCGCCCCGCCCCAUGUGAUCACCCAGAAAACCUUCGAGAUCCUUUGCUGUAGACUUAGCUUUUGCAGCCAGGACCCUCCCAGCCCAGGACCCCCCCAGCCCAGGACCCCCCCAGCCCAGGACCCCAGUCAAUGAGGGGAAACAGAAUCAGAAGGGAUGUUUUCAAAGUUUUUUCCUAAUGCCCUUUGAGAACUCUGCGAAGUCCCCUCCCUGGGGGGCCGCGCUCCUGUGCCACUGGGCCACCCGGGGCCAGGUGUGGAGGGCAGGCGGCCCUGGGGAGCCCCACAGGACAGUCACAUGGUGUCCUCCCGGCCCGGUCCAGCAGGGGCAGCGGUCUGACGGGGGUCUGUCUUCCCUCCU